Sinocyclocheilus grahami is the source of this 610-nucleotide long non-coding RNA. RefSeq lists it as uncharacterized. The record is from RefSeq and is a predicted model, not a curated record. NCBI's taxonomy places the organism in Eukaryota, Metazoa, Chordata, Actinopteri, Cypriniformes, Cyprinidae. The transcript is spliced from 3 exons.
UCUCAGUACAUUUAAAUUUUUGGGUGAACUAUUCCUCUAAUAGCAAUGAGUUUUUGUAUAUCAUCUAUUAUGAGAGUGCAUCAGUAGAGAUGUACCUGUAGUUUGUGUCAGAAAUAUUGCUGUAUUGGGAACUUUAUCAUCUGUUCAUUUUUGCUCAGUAACAUCAUAUUAGGGGUAAUCUGUCAGGUCAAUCAGUAAAUUUAAUUAUUAGGGAAGAUGUGAAAUUGUGAAUGAUUAUAUCUAUGCUUUUCUACAUAUCUCGUUCCAAAGCCAUAUCUUGCUGCACAUUAAUUCAUUCAAUUUUUGAGUGCCAGAAUUUAAGAUCAGAACAUUUGUGAACAUAGAUUGACUCUCCUUCCAUCCAGCUAUCAAUUUUCCAAACUGCUUGUCCUAUUCAGGGUCACAGCAUGGCAGCAUGGAGCCAGUACUAGCCUUUUGGUCCAUAGUCAGCCUCAUGAGGAUGUCACCUGGAAUGAUUUUCCAACAAUCUCUGGUCCAACUCAUUCCAAACCAUCUCAACUGGAUUUAGAUCACACCUUCAUGGUUUUGUCAGCCUCUGCUGUUAUGAGCCGACUCUCAGACUGAUCGAACACACACGCAAAGAGCCCAG